AUACGUAGGUGGCAAGCGUUAUCCGGAUUUAUUGGGCGUAAAGCGAGCGCAGGCGGUUGCUUAGGUCUGAUGUGAAAGCCCACGGCUUAACCGUGGAGGGUCAUUGGAAACUGGUCGACUUGAGUGCAGAAGAGGGAAGUGGAAUUCCAUGUGUAGCGGUGAAAUGCGUAGAGAUAUGGAGGAACACCAGUGGCGAAGGCGGCUUCCUGGUCUGUAACUGACACUGAGGCGCGAAGGCGUGGGGAGC
Molecule: ribosomal RNA, 247 nt
Filed under: uncultured bacterium
Lineage: Bacteria
Description: partial 16S ribosomal RNA
Rfam family: Bacterial small subunit ribosomal RNA
Source: RNAcentral